This 456-nucleotide long non-coding RNA is filed under the name Pollicipes pollicipes. RNAcentral's name for it is "uncharacterized LOC119100947, transcript variant X2". Lineage: Eukaryota; Metazoa; Arthropoda; Thecostraca; Pollicipedomorpha; Pollicipedidae. The record is from RNAcentral.
CCGGGGUCGUGGUCCGUGACCGGAUCGUGAUCGGGUUCCGUGACCGGACUAGGGUCGUGACCCGUGAACUUCCGUGGUUGUGACCGGUGACCGGACCGGGGUCGUGAAUCAUGACCUUCCGUGGUUGUGACCAGUGACGAGACUGAGAUUGUGGCCCGUGACCUGAGUGUGGUUGUGACCGUGACCGGACCGGGCCGGAUGACCUCGGCCAGCCCGCGGCGCUAUCUGACGUACCCGUGGAGAGUGAGGGACAUACGACUCUGGAACCAGCGCAACCUUUCCAUCGCCGCCGCGUCUUCUGCGGCCGUUCCGCGUCAGCCGACCGCGACACGAGCGCAGCAGAAGACAUACGGACAGGGCUCGGAUGAGCACCGCACGACACUGUGUGGAGAGAGCCGAAGCUCGCACAGCAAACCUGCGCCCACCAGCCGCCGCCAGUUGCCAGCAUCCGACGAG